Molecule: unclassified non-coding RNA, 400 nt
Filed under: uncultured fungus
Lineage: Eukaryota; Fungi
Description: partial contains small subunit ribosomal RNA, internal transcribed spacer 1, and 5.8S ribosomal RNA
Rfam family: Eukaryotic small subunit ribosomal RNA (bases 1-73)
Source: RNAcentral
UCAAACUUGGUCAUUUAGAGGAAGUACAAGUCGUAACAAGGUAUCCGUAGGUGAACCUGCGGAUGGAUCAUUACCGAGUGAUUUUGUUUGUAAUGUGAAUUGUUGAUUGUUUGGUUGGUGGGUUUUGUGUGCCUUGGUGUAUUUGAUGCGCUUUGGUAUGUUGAUGUGCUUUGGUAUAUUGAUUUACUUUGGUGUAUUUGAUGUGCUUUGGUAUGUUGAUUUACUUUGGUAUAUUUGAUGUCCCUUUGUAUAUCGAUGUCCCUUGGUGCUUCUCCGAUGCCCAUACACCAAAACCACCAGCCUUUGUACGUACACUAUGCAAGCCUGAGUCCAUUCACUGAAUGAUAAAACAACUUUUAGCAAUGGAUCUCUUGGCUCUCGCAUCGAUGAAGAACGCAGC